Molecule: long non-coding RNA, 2170 nt
Organism: Grus americana (Whooping crane)
Lineage: Eukaryota; Metazoa; Chordata; Aves; Gruiformes; Gruidae
Exons: 3
Source: RefSeq, a predicted model, not a curated record
AUUCUGCUUUCCUAGCUUGCACAGAAUCCAGUGAAAGUCCCAAAUGGGUAAGCAACGCAAGGUCCAGUGCCUGACUAUUCCCCAGCAGGCAGCUGUCUCGAAUAACCCGGCUGAAAUGCAACCAAUGACGUGCCCAGUUUAACCUUGGGGCACUCGGACACUCCGUGCCCGCACAGGACGAGAACCUGGAGGAAAGCUACCUUGAUUAGACCCUCUCAAACAAGGUAUUCAAACAGUACCUGCCACCACAAAAGAAGUUUUUUGUCAACAGCUUCCCAGCAUUGUAGAGAUCCCUGCCUUUCAGAGCUGUAAGCUUCUUGCCACCACAAGUAAUGCCAGCUGAGGAUUAAACAACACUUGGCUACUGAGAUGAAAUUUGUCAUACGAAGACUGAACAGCAGUGCACUAGAGCACAACAGUGCUCAGUGUACUUCCCACAGCCAGAAGCAUCCAUAACCUCCAGGGAGCAGAGGUGCCAGAACCUGAUUCAGGAAGCAUACGAUGCCUACAUGGGAGCUAGAGGAACUCCUCGCUUGCUGGCUUUGAAAAGGCAACUGCUCAGCAGGGAAACUGGGACAGAAUGAGAUUUGAAACCCGAAGGGCAGCCUGUUUCUGAUGAAAUGUCUCUGUAUUGGGAUCUUUACAUAUCUGCCAAGGUAUAAAAUGGAGGGACAGGAAGUCAUUUGCAAACCUUAUGUAACAUCCAGUCCUGCAAAGAGGUGCAUGCUGGGGGAUUCCUCUACCCACACAGAACUCUACCAAGCAGGCAUGCCUCCGCAUCCUUAUCUUCGCAGAACUCAAGCAUAGACCUCCUACAAGAUCAUCUCCCACCUCUAAUGUGCAUCUGUUCAUUUUCUGCCUGUCAAGAGACUUCAGAAUUUAAAAGAAGUUGCAAGAGAUAAGAGAAGCAGCUUUCAAGUUUGAGUGCACCAGAUCAGAUCUGAUAAGAAAUGUGAUUUUUUAUUGUCUGACUUUUCUUUUUUAUUUUUCCAAAGUGGAAUUCUCCUGCUGUGUAAGGAACUGUUUCUUGCAAUGCAUUUUUUCUCAGCAAUAAAAAUAUCUCAAAGGCAGAAGUACAAUUCUCCUUUUAGACCCGACACCUCCAAAGCCUGAUAUAUGUAGCUGAGUUAGAUGAAAAGGUAUUAUUAGGUUUUUAUUAGAUUAUGAUGCAAGCUCAAGCUGGCUAGGCUCAUCAGACAGUAAAUCUAGUGCAAACAUCCGUGGCCAAAUUCUACUCUCAUGCAUGUUGCUGUUUGACUGUGGUCAGUAUUCCUCUCUACUGUGAUACUGGUUCCCUUCUAUCAGUUGUGAGAAGGGAAUGGAUGCACAUAGGGCACGAUUUAUAAUGUAAACAGUCAUUGACAUAAAAUAAUUCUGAUUGUGCUCCUAUAUAAAAUCAGAGCUAAUGCUGGUAAAGGCAAAGGAUUAUUCUUCCUUACACAAUACAUGGAUCCAAAAUUCAGGCCUUUAUCACAAGACUAAGAUUUGUUAGAUAUAGCAUGGAUAUUUAUUUAUACAUGGCUUUUUACCAUCAGUGACUUGUUUCAAAAAUAACCCUUCUUCAGCUCCUUUCUGGCAGCUGCAUGUUGCAUUAAAGAGGUGAAUUGAAGCCAGGUAGACAGGGAGAUCUUCUAUUGACUUCAGCAGGGACUGCACAAGAAUUGGGUAUCUGAAAGCUACAUUGGACACUGCGAACACAGCAAGUGCUUUUUCCCUUCCAGGCAGAGCAAUAGUCUCACUAACAGCAGGCAGCUCUCUUCACAGUAUGUCAUGCUCAUUUUAAACCUGCUCCAAAUGCCGCAGGAGCUCAGCAGAGAAGCAGGCUGCCCAAAAGCACAGACGUAAACCCAGGCUAAGCUUACAGCUGUUCUAUGGCAAUGUUCUGUGCCCUCUAUAACACACAAAAUACAUACUGUAAUUUUUAUUAAAGGUCACAAUACUUCAAGACCUCCUGUGAAAAGAAUAAAAACUCACCUGAAAAGAUAGCAUGUUUGAGAAAAUGAAAACUGUCAUAUCAUAAGCUAAGUUCUUGCUUGUAGGCAAUUUUUUGAUAAGUGUCUCAAAGACAUAUUGCAGCAGAGCCAUAAAUCCAGAUGCCAUUCCACACAGAAGCUUGGCUUGAGAACUACAAAUCCCAGCCUUUGCAAAUACCUUUAUAUGUUAAGCUGAA